GCCCGGAAAAGCUGCGCGAGGAGCCCCUCGACUGACCGUACCGCAAACCGACUCAGGUGGGCGGGGUGAGUAUCCCAAGGCGCGUGAGAGAACGCUGGUUAAGGAACUCGGCAAAUUAACACCGUAACUUCGGGAGAAGGUGUGCCCUUUGACGUGCAGGACUUUACGUCUGAAGCGUUGGGGGGUUGCAGAGAAACGGGGGUUGCGACUGUUUACUAAAAACACAGGACUCUGCGAACUCGCAAGAGGACGUAUAGGGUCUGACGCCUGCCCGGUGCUGGAAGGUUAAGGGGAGUUGUCAGCGUAAGCGAAGCAACGAACUGAAGCCCCAGUAAACGGCGGCCGUAACAAUAACGGUCCUAAGGUAGCGAAAUUCCUUGUCGGGUAAGUUCCGACCUGCACGAAUGGCGUAACGACAUCCCCACUGUCUCGACCAGCGACUCAGCGAAAUUGUAAUCGCGGUGAAGAUACCGUGUACCCGCGGCAAGACGGAAAGACCCCAUGAACCUUUACUGCAACUUGACAGUGAAGCUCGGGACAGACUGCGUAGGAUAGGUGGGAGGCUGUGAAGCCGGGAUUCUGGUCUCGGCUGAGCCAACCUUGAAAUACCACCCUGUUUGUUCUGGGCUUCUAACCCAGGCGUGUAAGCCACGCCGGGGACACUGUCUGGUGGGCAGUUUGACUGGGGCGGUCGCCUCCCAAAAAGUAACGGAGGCGCGCGACGGUUCCCUCAGGCUGAUUGGAAACCAGCCGUAGAGUGUAAUGGCAUAAGGGAGCUUGACUGUGAGACCGACAGGUCGAGCAGGUGCGAAAGCAGGUCAUAGUGAUCCGGCAGUUCUGUAUGGAAGGGCUGCCGCUCAUCGGACAAAAGGUACUCUGGGGAUAACAGGCUGAUCGCGCCUGAGAGUUCAUAUCGGCGGCGCGGUUUGGCACCUCGAUGUCGGCUCAUCGCAUCCUGGGGCUGGAGCAGGUCCCAAGGGUUUGGCUGUUCGCCAAUUAAGGCGGUACGCGAGCUGGGUUUAGAACGUCGUGAGACAGUUCGGUCCCUGUCUGCCGUGGGCGUAGGAUACUUGAGAGGGUCUAACCAUAGUACGAGAGGACCUGGUUGGACGUACCUCUGGUGAUCCGGUUGUUCCGCCUGGAGCAUCGCCGGGUAGCUAUGUACGGAAUGGAUAACCACUGAAAGCAUCUAAGUGGGAAGCCAGCCUCAAGAUGAGGUAUCCCGGGGCCUUGAGCCCCCUGAAGGCCCGUCGAAGACUACGACGUAAUAGGCUGGGUGUGGAAGCGCAGCAAUGUGUGGAGCUAACCAGUACUAAUCGGCCGUGAGGCUUGACCCA
Molecule: ribosomal RNA, 1337 nt
Filed under: metagenome
Description: bacterial LSU rRNA
Rfam family: Bacterial large subunit ribosomal RNA
Source: RNAcentral